RNAcentral lists this ribosomal RNA (252 nucleotides) under uncultured bacterium. RNAcentral describes it as "partial 16S ribosomal RNA". It matches the Rfam family "Bacterial small subunit ribosomal RNA", at positions 524 to 776 of the family's 1533-position model. The record is from RNAcentral.
UACGUAGGGGGCUAGCGUUAUCCGGAAUUACUGGGCGUAGAGGGUGCGUAGGUGGUUUCUUAAGUCAGAGGUGAAAGGCUACGGCUCAACCGUAGUAAGCCUUUGAAACUGGGGAACUUGAGUGCAGGAGAGGAGAGUGGAAUUCCUAGUGUAGCGGUGAAAUGCGUAGAUAUUAGGAGGAACACCAGUUGCGAAGGCGGCUCUCUGGACUGUAACUGACACUGAGGCACGAAAGCGUGGGGAGCAAACAGG